Molecule: transfer RNA, 74 nt
Filed under: Gammaproteobacteria bacterium
Lineage: Bacteria; Pseudomonadati; Pseudomonadota; Gammaproteobacteria
Also listed under: 2 other names
Description: tRNA-Gln
Rfam family: tRNA
About the family: Transfer RNA (tRNA) molecules are approximately 80 nucleotides in length.
Source: RNAcentral
UGGGGAAUCGUCUAACGGCAGGACUACGGACUCUGACUCCGUCAAUCAAGGUUCGAAUCCUUGUUCCCCAGCCA